This 408-nucleotide long non-coding RNA is filed under the name Brassica napus (rape). RNAcentral's name for it is "long non-coding RNA (BNAP_LNC020368)". The record is from RNAcentral. Lineage: Eukaryota; Viridiplantae; Streptophyta; Magnoliopsida; Brassicales; Brassicaceae.
UGGUGAAGAGAUAGUUUGUGGAGAGAGAUAAUUUGUCCUAGUAUUCUGUUUAACAUUGUUAUAGACAUAUUUUAAUUGUUUUUCUCUUUUAUCUUUUUUCCAUAAACUACAAUUUUUUUAUUUUUUAUUAAUAUGGCUGUAAAUAUAGAUAGAACUCAUGUGGUUAGAAGUGUUCUAGCUGUAGAGUUAUGACCUCAUACUCAAUUAUACUCAACUAACACAUUUUUCUAUUACAUGCAGCGUUAGAGUACGUGGCAGAAGUUUUCAUCAUUAUGGACGGGCAAAAUUGUCCACUCUUAAAUGUCAUACACCCAUUAACAUCAAUCAACGUGUAGUUAGCAAAUAUAGACUUCCAUUGAAUGUAGUUAGCUAAAUAUCUCAACUUAAAAACAUCUUAUGCAAAUUUUA